This 468-nucleotide ribosomal RNA is filed under the name uncultured bacterium. Its description in RNAcentral is "partial 16S ribosomal RNA". It matches the Rfam family "Bacterial small subunit ribosomal RNA", at positions 28 to 507 of the family's 1533-position model. The record is from RNAcentral.
GACGAACGCUGGCGGCGUGCUUAACACAUGCCAGUCGAACGGAAAGGCCCUGCUUUUGUGGGGUGCUCGAGUGGCGAACGGGUGAGUAACACGUGAGUAACCUGCCCUUGACUUUGGGAUAACUUCAGGAAACUGGGGCUAAUACCGGAUAGGAGCUCCUGCUGCAUGGUGGGGGUUGGAAAGUUUCGGCGGUUGGGGAUGGACUCGCGGCUUAUCAGCUUGUUGGUGGGGUAGUGGCUUACCAAGGCUUUGACGGGUAGCCGGCCUGAGAGGGUGACCGGCGAGAUGGGGAAUAAGAUACGGCCCGGACGGCAACGGGAGGCAGCAGUGGGGAAUAUGGCACAAUGGGCGGAAGCUUGAUGCAGCAACGCCGCGUGCGGGAUGACGGCCUGCGGGUUGUAAACCGCGAUCGCCUGUGACGAAGCGUGAGUGACGGUAAUGGGUAAAGAAGCAACGGCUAACUACGUG